CAAAGGUUUGGUCCCAGCCUUACUAUCAAUUAUUACUUAACUUACACAUGCAAGUAUCUACACACCAGUGAAAACCCCCCAAUAACCAACAGGAAUAAGGAGCCGGCAUCAGACAACAAGCCUACGACGCCUAGCCACGCCACACCCACACGGGCCCCAGCAGUGAUAAAUAUUGACCAUGAGCAACCACUCGAACCAGUUAAGGUAAAUAGAGCCGGCAAAUCUAGUGCCAGCCGCCGCGGCUACACUACUGACUCAAAUUGAUAAAACCGGCGUUAAGAGUGACUAAAGCACCAAUAAAUUAGAACUGAACACUUACCAAGUUGUGAUGCACUUGUCCCCGGAACCACUAAACGAAAGUCCCUCUAAUAUAACCGCUUGACACACGAUAGCUGAGAAACAAACUAGAAUUAGAUACCCUACUAUGCCCAGCCGUAAAACAUUAACUCACACCAUACCCGCCAGAGAAAUACAAGCUUAGCUUGAAACUCAAAGGACUUGACGGUGCCCCACCCACCUAGAGGAGCCUGUUCUAUAAUCGAUAAUCCCCGAUCUACCCAACCUUUCCUAGCCAAAUCAGCCUGUAUACCUCCGUCGCAAGUUAACCCCAUGAGGACUUUUCAGACCCAAUAACCCCCCCCCCCCGCUAACACGUCAGGUCAAGGUGCAGCCCACGAAAAGGCAGCAAUUAGCUACAAUCUCUUACAGAGCAAACGGAAAUCUGCAUGAAACUCAGCAUGAAGGUGGAUUUAGCAGUAAAAAGAAACCAGAAGGUUCUUUUUAACAAGGCAAUGGGACGCGUACACACCGCCCGUCGUCCUCUUCUUUCCCCGCCCCACCCCAAAAUAUACCAAACAGAUCAAUAGAAGAGGCAAGUCGUAACACGGUAAGUGUACCGGAAGGUGCACUUGGCUAACG
Molecule: non-coding RNA, 918 nt
Filed under: Synapturanus rabus (Vaupes disc frog)
Lineage: Eukaryota; Metazoa; Chordata; Amphibia; Anura; Microhylidae
Description: 12S ribosomal RNA
Rfam family: Bacterial small subunit ribosomal RNA
Source: RNAcentral